Non-coding RNA from Schistosoma margrebowiei, 46 nucleotides. The record is from Rfam. NCBI's taxonomy places the organism in Eukaryota, Metazoa, Platyhelminthes, Trematoda, Strigeidida, Schistosomatidae.
GCACUGCUGAAGAGUCUCAUACUAGGACGAAACGACCGUCCAGUGC